GUGAUGGAUUUGAUUCGUAUUGGUAUGUGACUGUCUUACAAAUAUAUACAUAAGUCGCUUUUCCGCUACCGAGAAAUAUAUAUGUAUAUACCUAUAUUUUUAUAAUUAGAUAAGCUUGCGUUUGACCACUAUUUCACCUGAUGUUAAGUGAGAAUGUGGUCUAGGAUGGAGCACGCUUACCUAGAAGUACCCUAUCCACUAGCGACUUAAAGAUCCCCAGAUUGGGAUACUUGCCAGCUGAAAUACCUCCAGAGCAACCUCCUGUCUCAGCUCCACAGCCACCUCCACCUCCACCUCCACCACAAAAUCAAUCACCGAAAACUUGAUCUUACUGACACAAACACGAAGAUGUACAUUUAACACCAAUUGCAAAAGAAGUAUUGGAGAAAAAUAUACCUCAAGAAUUUUUUAAUUUUGAUCGAAAUUAUGUAAACAACUCGCUGAGAUCGAACAAGAACUAAAUUGUAAUCAUUUGUCUUUCAUUUAAUAUUUUCAUUCAUUCUCAAUUUUUCAUGCACCAUCGACUGAAAGAAACAAACUAGUUAAGGCUGAAUUUUUAAC
This 561-nucleotide unclassified non-coding RNA is filed under the name Melitaea cinxia (Glanville fritillary). Its description in RNAcentral is "misc RNA ENSMCXG00005010124.1". Lineage: Eukaryota; Metazoa; Arthropoda; Insecta; Lepidoptera; Nymphalidae. The record is from RNAcentral.